Molecule: long non-coding RNA, 868 nt
Organism: Zootermopsis nevadensis
Lineage: Eukaryota; Metazoa; Arthropoda; Insecta; Blattodea; Termopsidae
Source: RefSeq, a predicted model, not a curated record
AUAGUCGAAGCGUCAUCAAGUUGUUUAACUACACAUUAUUGUCUGGGUUCUUACUCUGUGUGGAUUUGUGGGUAGAUACUAACAUCUCAGAGAAAUAUACUGUAUCCAAUUUCAGCCGGCCAAUGCAAAUUGGUACAAUUCGAAUGAUGGCAGUAAUAGGCGUAAUGCGAGCUUCGAUCAGUAAAUCGUAAAAAAAAUACGUUUCGUACCGGCUAUUGUUAAUAAUAUUUAUUAACAAAGGAAACCAUUUUAGUUCUUCUGGAUUUGCCCAUUUUAGCAUAAAAAAUCAUGCCAUAUGUGGUAGUGAGAGGCAGCCUUGGUAUGGCAAAUACAAAAGUGUAUGGCUUGUCAUUGCACGAAGCAGAGAAAAUUAGUGCAAAACUUCGGCCAGGCCCCAAAAAUACUGAGAAGGAUGAAUUGACGUUCUACAAUUCAGCAGCCUAUGUUAUGAAUCAGUUGGAGUACUUUUUUGGCUAUCGAGUAAUUACAUGUGCAAGCCAAGGGAAUUCAGGACAACCUAUAUGGACUAUGACAAGAACCUAUUGACACUUUGUGUUGUGAUAUUGUGAUUGACAUAUUGAUUCCAUCAGUACUUUUGUGAUAAAGUGUUCCACAGACAAAAAUAUUAUGGUUGCAUAACCCAUAGCAGCAUUUUAUCCAAGAAAAAAUAAUUUCUGAAGGUGGAUGACAAAUAUAUGAAAGCACAGAUCUGUGUAACUUGUGCUGAACACAGUGUUUGGUCAGGUUGAAAUAAAAGAGUUGGUCAUGGACAAACAACAGGAAAAUGAACAUGCUUCAUCAGCAUGAUACUGACAAUGCUCUCCCCAGCAUGCAAUUCAGUUUGAAGGACUGAUCACUACAGAUGAUA